UCAGACUAAACAUAGCCGUGCCUCUCUGC
RNAcentral lists this non-coding RNA (29 nucleotides) under Rattus norvegicus (Norway rat). Lineage: Eukaryota; Metazoa; Chordata; Mammalia; Rodentia; Muridae. The record is from RNAcentral.